RNAcentral lists this ribosomal RNA (420 nucleotides) under uncultured bacterium. RNAcentral's name for it is "bacterial SSU rRNA". It matches the Rfam family "Bacterial small subunit ribosomal RNA", at positions 30 to 452 of the family's 1533-position model. The record is from RNAcentral.
AUUGAACGCUGGCGGCAUGCCUAACACAUGCAAGUCGAACGGUAACAGGCCCUUCGGGGUGCUGACGAGUGGCGGAUGGGUGAGUAAUACUUAGGAAUCUACCCUGUAGUGGGGGACAACCCGGGGAAACUCGGGCUAAUACCGCAUACGCUCUACGGAGGAAAGCGGGGACCGCAAGGCCUCGCGCUAUUGGAUGAGCCUAAGCCCGAUUAGCUAGUUGGUGGGGUAAUAGCCUACCAAGGCAAUGAUCGGUAGCUGGUCUGAGAGGACGACCAGCCACACUGGGACUGAGACACGGCCCAGACUCCUACGGGAGGCAGCAGUGGGGAAUAUUGGACAAUGGGCGAAGCCUGAUCCAGCGAUGCCGCGUGUGUGAAGAAGGCCUGCGGGUUGUAAAGCACUUUCAGUAGGGAAGAAAAU